ACCGAGCCGGUUUGGACCCUUCGCCCUCCCCCUCCCGGGGCGCCCACCACCCACCUCUCCGGUUACGCGCGGCUGCCCCGGUCCCGCUUUUAAACCAGAUCUGAACGCUCUUUCAACCAGAACCUCGACCGUCUGUGUCAUUUCGGUGCUUGAAAACUUCUCUUUCGGCUUCGCGUUGCAAGGGGCUUGCUGGACUCCAGGCUUCGGGGACGAGGCACCCCUGCCCCCUGCUGUAGAGGCGGCCUCUACCGACCCCGAGGUUGGGGUUCGCUACAUUGCGAUGCGGUCAUGUGACAGCGAUGACACGAUGCGUUACCAUGUGCGGUUUCCGUGAAUUUAGAAAGCAUUGCCUUGAUAACACUAAAAGUAUUUCUAAACCAAACCAGGUUCCAGACACUGAAAAUUCAUGGUGUUUGGUUCCUUUUAAAUGUGUGUGGGGGGGGGGGGGAGGGGGGUUUGCAAUAAAUGCGUGCAUAUAUAAAUGAAGCCGUCUGCAGUAAGAUAAUGGCAUUAAAAAAAAAUAAAAGGGCGAACUGCUCGAAUUUAGAGACGUAGAGACACAGCGACCAAAUGUAAUGUGUAUGGAUCCUGUUAACUAUGGAUUCAAACUAACUAAAAGGUAUUUUUUUGAGACAAUUGUUGUAAUGGUUAUGAUGUAGUUGAGAUGCAUGGUGGACUAUGUGGAAGGGACGGGUCAUGGUAUCUGCAACUUACUUCCAAAUACUUAAGAAAACAAAGUGUGUGUACAUGUGUGUUUACAUGUAUGUGUACGUAUACUAGGCUGUUAUAUAUCAACAUGGGACAUGAUAGUUUUCUCCCAGAAACUACUAGACUAAGCCAUUGUCCCAACAAUAACUAUACUCUGAUUCUAUUCCUCAUUUAAUUUAAAAGGAGAAUAAAAGGGACUGAAUUCAAUACCUUCAUUUUGGUUUUUGAAAGUAUAAAUAUGUUUAGUGUUUUUACUAAUUUAGGGUACAAUAAAAUGAGAGACCUAUGUCACACUCUCCAUGCCAUUAUUACUUUUUUGGAAUAUAUAUUAUUCCAAACGUACAUAUUGCUGUAUUGGUGGCAUUUAGGUUAUUUCCAAUAUUUUUGCCUCUAAAAGCAAUGCUGCCAUGACUAGAUAUUUGCCUGCAUGGAUGGUACUUAUUGAGUAAAUUCCCAGAAGCAGAAGUACUGGGUCAAAGGGUAGGUAUAUUUUUAAUGUUAACAGAUAAUGCCAAGUCACCCUUCAAAGAGGAAGUAUCAGUUUACACCACUACCACCAAUGUAUGAGAGUUCCUAUUUUUCCAUGCCCUCAGUAGCACACUGUGUUUAGAUAACUUUUGUAGUCCUUGGCAUUACUGCCACUUUGUUCAAACAAUGAAAGUAAAGAUGAGCGAAAAGUGUCUUUGAGCCCUAUCUUGCUAGAAAUGACAUGAUUCAUUUAGAAAAAUUUCUUCCUGCCAGCAGUGGCUUGGAUUCAGCAAUCAUCACCUGUGUCCUGCUCUUUCUAAUUAUUUAGAUUCUGUAGUACAUCAAUGUGAAUUCAAAACAGUAUCUCUGUUCCUAGCUGAACAGACCAGUUUUAUUCCGAUGCUAAACAUAUGC
Molecule: long non-coding RNA, 1590 nt
Organism: Myotis myotis
Lineage: Eukaryota; Metazoa; Chordata; Mammalia; Chiroptera; Vespertilionidae
Exons: 2
Source: RefSeq, a predicted model, not a curated record